This 329-nucleotide unclassified non-coding RNA is filed under the name soil metagenome. RNAcentral describes it as "partial contains 5.8S ribosomal RNA, internal transcribed spacer 2, and large subunit ribosomal RNA". The stretch from base 1 to 120 matches the Rfam family "5.8S ribosomal RNA", at positions 35 to 154 of the family's 154-position model. The record is from RNAcentral.
GAUGAAGAACGCAGCGAAAUGCGAUAAGUAACGUGAAUUGCAGAAUUCAGUGAAUCAUCGAAUCUUUGAACGCACAUUGCGCCCCCUGGUAUUCCGGGGGGCAUGCCUGUCCGAGCGUCAUUACAACCCUCAAGCUCAGCUUGGUGUUGGGCCCCGCCGCCCCGGCGGGCCCUAAAGUCAGUGGCGGUGCCGUCCGGCUCCGAGCGUAGUAAUUCUUCUCGCUCUGGAGGUCCGGUCGUGUGCUCGCCAGCAACCCCCAAUUUUUUUCAGGUUGACCUCGGAUCAGGUAGGGAUACCCGCUGAACUUAAGCAUAUCAAUAAGCGGAGGA